RNAcentral lists this ribosomal RNA (483 nucleotides) under uncultured bacterium. RNAcentral's name for it is "partial 16S ribosomal RNA". It matches the Rfam family "Bacterial small subunit ribosomal RNA", at positions 30 to 507 of the family's 1533-position model. The record is from RNAcentral.
AUUGAACGCUGGCGGCAGGCCUAACACAUGCAAGUCGAGGGAUGAAGGGAGCUUGCUCCUGGAUUCAGCGGCGGACGGGUGAGUAAUGCCUAGGAAUCUGCCUGGUAGUGGGGGAUAACGUCCGGAAACGGGCGCUAAUACCGCAUACGUCCUGAGGGAGAAAGUGGGGGAUCUUCGGACCUCACGCUAUCAGAUGAGCCUAGGUCGGAUUAGCUAGUUGGUGGGGUAAAGGCCUACCAAGGCGACGAUCCGUAACUGGUCUGAGAGGAUGAUCAGUCACACUGGAACUGAGACACGGUCCAGACUCCUACGGGAGGCAGCAGUGGGGAAUAUUGGACAAUGGGCGAAAGCCUGAUCCAGCCAUGCCGCGUGUGUGAAGAAGGUCUUCGGAUUGUAAAGCACUUUAAGUUGGGAGGAAGGGCAGUAAGUUAAUACCUUGCUGUUUUGACGUUACCAACAGAAUAAGCACCGGCUAACUUCGUG